RNAcentral lists this ribosomal RNA (800 nucleotides) under uncultured bacterium. RNAcentral's name for it is "bacterial SSU rRNA". It matches the Rfam family "Bacterial small subunit ribosomal RNA", at positions 8 to 796 of the family's 1533-position model. The record is from RNAcentral.
AGAGUUUGAUCCUGGCUCAGGACGAACGCUGACGGUGUGCUUUAGGCAUGCAAGUCGAACGAGAAAGCCCUUCGGGGUGAGUAAAGUGGCGAACGGGUGAGUAACACGUGGGCAACCUGCCCCUCGCAGGGGGACAACCGGAGGAAACUCCGGCUAAUACCCCGUACGCUUGUUGGAUCGCAUGGUCCGGCAAGGAAAGGUAGCUUCGGCCAUCCGGCGAGGGAUGGGCCCCGUUGCAUUAGCUAGUUGGUGGGGUAACGGCCUACCAAGGCGACGAUGCGUAGCUGGUCUGAGAGGAUGAUCAGCCACACUGGGACUGAGACACGGCCCAGACUCCUACGGGAGGCAGCAGCCAGGAAUCUUGGGCAAUGGGCGAAAGCCUGACCCAGCAACACCGUGUGGGCGAUGAAGGCCUUAGGGUCGUAAAGCCCUGUUGAUAGGGACGGAGGGCGAAGGGUUAAUAGCCCCUAGCUUGACGGUACCUUUCGAGGAAGCCCCGGCUAACUACGUGCCAGCAGCCGCGGUAAUACGUAGGGGGCGAGCGUUGUCCGGAAUUAUUGGGCGUAAAGAGCGUGUAGGCGGUUCGGUAAGUCUGCUGUGAAAUCCUGGGGCUCAACCCUGGGCGUGCAGCGGAUACUGCCGGGCUAGAGGGUGGUAGAGGCGAGUGGAAUUCCGAGUGUAGCGGUGAAAUGCGCAGAUAUUCGGAGGAACACCAGUAGCGAAGGCGGCUCGCUGGGCCACACCUGACGCUGAGACGCGAAAGCGUGGGGAGCGAACAGGAUUAGAUACCCUAGUAGUCC